RNAcentral lists this microRNA precursor (101 nucleotides) under Marmota monax (woodchuck). The record is from RNAcentral. Lineage: Eukaryota; Metazoa; Chordata; Mammalia; Rodentia; Sciuridae.
ACAUAAAUCACUGGAAGAUUUUAAAAUGCAGAUUCUGAGUCAGGAUGUCAGGGAUGGGCAUGAGAUUCUGCAUUUGUAAGAAGCUGCCAAGUGAUGCUAAA